Molecule: ribosomal RNA, 781 nt
Filed under: Sporastatia polyspora
Lineage: Eukaryota; Fungi; Ascomycota; Lecanoromycetes; Rhizocarpales; Sporastatiaceae
Description: mitochondrial SSU rRNA
Rfam family: Bacterial small subunit ribosomal RNA
Source: RNAcentral
GUCAUAGCCUAACGGCUGAACCAGCAACUUGGAGGAAUGUAUAGCGAAAGCUAGUUGUAUUAACAAAUGGUUAGUGCAGGAUCGACUAUGUCGAAUAAAGUUCUAGGUAGAUUUAUGAUAAUGACAUUUUCUAUCUAUGUGUCUUGACCAAAUCACGUGCCAGCAGUCGCGGUAAUACGUGGGAGACUAGUGUUAUUCAUCUUUAAUAGGUUUAAAGGGUACUUAGACGGUAAAUCAAGCCCAAAAAGGGUACUAAUUUACUAGAGUUUUAUGUGAGGGGGGGAGUACUAAUGGAGUAGAGAUGAAAUUUUGUCAUACCAAGAGGAAACAGGUAAAGGCGAAAGCGACCUUUUAUGUAUAAACUGACGUUGAAGGACGAAGGCUCCGGUCAUGAACAGGAUUAGAUACCCCAGUAGUCUGAGCAGACAAUGAUGAAUGUCAUAGAUUAGAUUUAGUUUUCUCUAUAAAUGAAAGUGUAAGCAUUCCACCUCAAGAGUAAUUUGGCAACAUAGAAACUGAAAUCAUUAGACCGUUUCUGAAACCAGUAGUGAAGUAUGUUGUUUAAUUUGAUGAUCCGCAAAAAACCUUACCACAAUUUGAAUAUUUUUAUUUUAUUAUUUUAAUUAUUUUUAUACAAGCGCUGCACGGCUGUCUUCAGUUAAUGUCGUGAGACUUUGGUUAGUUCCAUUAAAUUAACGUAAACCCUUACUUUUUUUAUUAUAAAGUAGUUCUCCGCUAUAUUGGAUAUGAUAAAAGGGACUAAGACAAGUCAUCAUGGCCU